UUCCCCAAACCUUAAAAGACAAAACACACAAACAAAUAAAACCUUGCCAGCCCUCUCUUUUCUACUUCUUGGCUCAUCAUUGAGCUAAAAUUCUCGAGGAGGUUGUAGUCACCUCCCAGCUGCCAGACCCGGUCCUGUUUUCUGUCCUCCUACGUGCAUCUUCAGUAGCUUUGGAGGCUCUUGAACAUGCACUUCUUUCUGAAAAGCCCUCCUACUCCAACCUCUCCACCAGUCCCCCCUCUUCAGUUUCCCCACAGAUCACUUUCUGUUACCAAUACUUUUAAAUUUUCCUCACAAUUUCUCCUUCUCUGCCCACACUUAGAAGUCAGUGUUUGCCAGAUACUAUGCUGUCCUUGGACUUCGUCUUUUCCCUCUCACUCAAAAUGUUUUCCCAUGUGUAGUAUUGUCCCAAAUGAAAUUGCUAUUUUCAUAGGUAAAGAUCAAGUGUUGGCCAUUUCAUAUGGUUCAGUCCAUAAUAAUCUCCACAUCCCUCUUUCUAGCCCUGUUCUUUCUCCUAAGAUUAGACAAAUAUUUCCAGUGACCAACUGGAUUCUUCCAACUGGACUGCCUUAAGUUACCUCAAAACUAAUGUGUCUCAUAUGGGACGCUUUUAUUGAUCACCUCCUCUACCUCACGUAUUCUUGGUCUUGAUUCCUGGUGUCACAACCUCCUCAGUUUUCUAGUUUAGGAAUUUUAGUCAUUCUUUUUUUUUUUCAUUUUUUCAAGUUUUAUUGAACUAUGGUUUAUUUACAAAGUUGUGAUAGUGUCUGCUGUACAACAGAGUGAUUCAGUUAUACACAUACACACAUCUGUUCUUUUUCAGAUUCUUUUCCCACAUAGAUUAUCACAGAAUAAUGGGUAGAGUUCCCAGGUUGCCACUGGCUAGUCAUAUACCUCAGUGUGCACAUGCCAGUCCCAAACCCCCAGUCCAUUCCUCCCCCAGCUGUCCCCCUUGGCAACCAUAAGUUUUCAAAGUCUGUGAGUCUGUUUCUGUUCUAUAAAUAAGUUCAUUUGUAUCCAUUUUUAAGAUUCCACGUAUAAGUCAUAGCAUAUGAUGCCCGUCUUUCACUAGAAUUCUGCCUCAUAAAUAUCCCCACUGUAUUUCAUUAGGUCAGGCCAUCGCCAUUGUUCAUCUGGGGGUUGCCAUGGCUCCAUCCAUGGAAUCUACAUGACUGUGUCCAUUCCAUCCUUUCUAUAUCACCAGAAAUGUCUUUUGAAGAACCAAACCCAACCAUGUGACUCUAAAACUCAUCAAAAUCCAGUUCCAGCCCAUAGCUGUGACUCAGCUUCUGUUGCUCUGACCCUUCCACCCUCCAUCACAGUCAUUCUGGUGGAAUGGCUUGUUGUUUCCUGAAACACCAGACUCUUUGAACCUUGCGCUUUCUUCUGUCUGAAAUGUCCUUCACAUCCUCUAAGAAAUGCCUAUGCAGCCUCUUAGAGCCAUCUUAAAGAUCUCUUCUUCCAUCAAGCCCUUCCCCAGUUCUCCCAAACAAUCUGGUCCUUCCCCAAUUUCCAAACGUUCUGCCCUGUAUCUCUUCUGGCACUUUGCAUGCCACCUGGUAGCUUAAUUUCUCCAUUUAAAUGUUGGUCUCCAAUAAGUUAGAAAUUCAGAUCAUGUCUCUCUUAUGACCCACACUAGAUACUUAAUAAAUAGUUAUUCAAUAAUUAAAGGAGGUAAUUACGAGACACUUGGGCCAAGACCUGAAUUCAAGGCUGAAAUGGAUUAAAGAGUUUUCAGGUCCAAGUUUAUGUUUCUGAAUAAACUCAUAUUGCUGCCCUGGAAAUCUAAGUACUCUGCUUUCCUAGACUGCAAGAUGAGAAAAUAAAUAUUCAUUUAUGUGUAGUAUUUAAUUAAUAACACAAUAGAUAGGAGUUAGAUCUCCAAAGCAAAAUUAUGGUUGAGAAUGUCCACAUUGACAUGGAAUUGUGUAUUUCAUUUUCGGUGGUCUUGUACAAUGUCAUGGCACAAUUAUUUCUAUAAUCAGUGUAUAUCCAUUUCUUCUUUCAUUGAAGUGACUUGAGCAAGAAUUCCCCUUGGGAUUUCAGAGGAAGCUGUAGCACAGAGAGGGUACGAAUAAUUCAACCUUUCCAUUUAGUGUUCCUUGAAAAAUUAGAAAGAUUCCCUCUUGACACAAAUCCCCAGUCUAAGUUUGAUGACCAGAAAGGAUGGGAACCCAAAGCUGUUUUUAGGUCACUGGUCCUCAGAGUGUCAGCUGUUGGCAAUACCCACUAUUGCCCGAGAGUAAAACAGAGAAGGAAAGAGGAAGCCACAUUCAUGUUGAUAACUCAGUGUAGGGAAUGAACCUGUGGCUAUCUUCCUUGGACCUGGUAGGCUGCUGUUAGCAUAGUGGACCUGUGGCUGCCUUGCUCAGCUCCUGCCUAACACACAAGCUGCCUCAUGCUUGAGGAAGCACCAAAUCAAUUGCACUUUCUUGCAUUAAAUGUGCUCUUUCCUGCCUCUUUGCUUUUGUUCAUGCUGUUCUCUCUGCCUACAAUUCGGCUUCGGCUUCUCCUAUCCAUUUUGAUGAAUGAAGCCCUAAUCGGGAUAAAUGCAGCCAUCACAUCUCUAAACCCAUCUCUGAUUCAUUCCAUUUCCUUCCCAGGGUGGGUUAUGCUGUUCUGAAGUUCCACCAUGUAUAGUUGUGCAGUCACCUGGCCUAGGAAAUAAGUCAUGGAAUUCCAGCCCAAGAUCCAUGGCUCAGUGUGUGCCUUCAGGGUUAGAACUGUUUCCUGUUUCACACAAAAAUGCCCCCAUAGUGCCCGUUUGUGUCCCCAUCACACCAUGACCACAGUGAACUAUAAAUACCUAUUUGUCUAUUUCCCCCACUAGUCCCUCAGAUGGCCAACUUCUGACUUAGCACAGUGUUUGGCACUGAGUAACUGUUGGUUGAAAGAAAUAGUGGCCUCUAACAACUAGUAAGAAUUAAACACUGUUCUAGAAACGGUAGAUGCCUCAAGUCAUUUAUUUCUCAUGACAAUCCUGAGGAGGUGUGCUUUUAGCCAGUUUUCAGAAGAGCGUACUGAAACCCAGGUGAUGAAGAAAGGUGCACGUGUCACCACUGGUCCACAUGGAGCCAGAAUUCUCCGUCGGGCCCCAGAUCCAUCCCGAAGUCACUGUGCCAUGCUGCCUCUUGAUGGAUGAGAACUUGUCAGGACUCUAUUUCCUUGUGUUUGUUUUCCUUUUGGGGGAAAAAAAAGUGGGGGAGGGGGAGUUGUUAGGAAUUCCCUGGUGGCUCCAUGGGUUAAGGAUCUGGUGUUGCUACUGCUGUGACUCUGGUUACAGCAGUGGGGCAGGUUUGAUCCCAGGCCCAGGAACUUCCGCAUACCGAGGGCGUGGCCAAAAAAAGGUCCUUGUUGGCAACAUCUGGGAACCCCACUUCCAAUCAAGACACUUGCCCAGGUAACCCUGUGCCUCCACUACACAUAUGCUCCCACGUUCUGAGAACUCCUUUCUUAUAGAGUCACUUCCUGACUUUUCCAGGGGAUGCUGGAGAUUCUGUAUAUAGAAGGUGAGCUGAAGUGCCAGGCCUUUGGGGCAAAGAUAUCUGGGUCUAGGAGUUGCAGAAAGAAGCAUGGCAUGUAUCAUGUAAGGAAGAGCAGGAAGGGAGGGGCUGAUCACAAGCACAGUGAUGGGAAGAAAAGAAUGGAGGCUAAAAUCACUCAUUUAGUCACUUAGAACAAUUAAAUAGCAAAGGGUCAUCUUGGAGAGGGUUAAAAAGGGCAGGCCAGAUCGGGUUGGGGUGCUGUGGGAGCAGGGGACCGGGACAAAGGAAAUCAGCAGCCUUGCCAUGUGUGUGGAGGUACCUUCCUGCAACAUUUUUGUUGCUGAGGAUGAAGAUGGAUAGAGUGUGAGAACCAAGAACCUUCUCUAGGUUCAGAAGGGUGUGUGUGUCACAGCUGCUCAAAAUUCUGCUCAGAGCAAGGUCUGUCAGCAGAGAGGGAGUCCUGGGAGUGGAGGGCUUUCCAGAAGGGAUGACUAGGAUUGAGGCAAUGGUAAGAAUUGAGGCUCUGUGGAGGCAUGGACCAGGCGUGGAUGGCAAGAGGCACCUGGAAGCCUCGGAGAAUGAGACAGGGGCUCUGGGGUCUGACAUCCACACGAGGAAACUUUCACCUUGGGCCCACUCUCUUGACCAGGUCUGAGGCCCCCCGAUGCUAUCUGAGGUGUAUUCCACUAGCUCUCUCCCCUGUUCUCUGCCACUCCUGGGCCGCCACAUCCUUGUUGGUUGUGGAAUGAGAAUAAAACACCAGAGGAGGUGUGGGCUGAAGCCAGCAGCUUUAAAUAAGAAAGGCUUAGCCGCAGGUAUGGGGCCUGGCCAUUGAUGUGGGCGGUUGGUGGCCAGGAAUUUGGCCUCCCCUUCUUGUCCUGACUCAGCCCGUGGCCUGUGGGUCACAGCCUGUGGGUGACUUGGUUCCUCAAACCCCAACUCAGGGAUGAUGGACCUUGCUACUCUGUGAGGGGUACUAAUUAAAGUUUGCAGACUGCGUGGCCAUGCAGGGAUAAAAGGGGUUAAACACAGAGUGUCACCUCGAGUUCUGGGAAGUGGUGCCAUCAGCAUCAUAAUUGGGAUGGAAGCAGACAGAUAAAAUCCAUCUUAGAACACGGGCUCUGUGGAGCAGGGCCCUCGGUGGAGAAUCUGCAGGGACAGCCACACGGGUGCCCAUACUAGUUGAGAGGGAAACAUGGAUUUGCCUGUGGGACCUGUGUCCCUAGGCCAGCACUUUCCCCCAAGAUUUUAUAAACAGUGAAGAGAGCUGGUUCUCAAAUGUCACAGAUUUCAAGUUUUCCUUUAGAGCCUUUGCUUGUCACCCUCCAAACCCCACAGGGAACUUGCUGGCAGAAAACACAUCCCGGUGGUGGUGGUGGUGGUGGGGGUCCGGCUGAGCUAUGGAUGGGGGGUGAGGGACAUUUCGGUGAAGGAAACCCAGCACUUUCCUUCUCUCCAUAGCAGCUUUCAUCGGAGGCUGGAGAAUGGGAGCUCGGGCGCUCGGGAUCUCAGAGGCUUGCAGCCAGUGCCUCUUCCUCCCAGACCCUGGCCCCACUCCACUCCCCAGGUACCUUUGACAAGAAGCCACAGAGACGUGGCUGUCACAGAGCCGGGGUCGCAGGCUGCUGCCCUCUUCACUCUGUCUCACCUGUGCCAGCUGAGACCCUGGCGCGGUGUCUGCUGAAUUGGUCAAAACGAUGUCAUGUGCGAGGCUAGUUUUCUGGAAAUGAAAAUCAGAAUCUCUUGGAGAAACUAGAAUGCCUUAUAGAUGGCAGAGGACAGCUACCCAGCAUCAAGUGGCCGUGGAUGGCGGCAAGCAUGACGGAUGUGCUUCUGGGCCUCCAGGUGGGAAGAGAUUGAAUAAU
RNAcentral lists this long non-coding RNA (5350 nucleotides) under Sus scrofa (pig). RNAcentral describes it as "lncRNA (ENSSSCG00000052643.1)". Lineage: Eukaryota; Metazoa; Chordata; Mammalia; Artiodactyla; Suidae. The record is from RNAcentral.